AUGCUGGAACAUCUGCCAUUAGCAGUGGAGAGGCAUUUGGCACUGCAAUACUGACUGUUGUAGGGUGUUGCUUACAAUCAGUAGGUCUAAAGAAGUCUUCUUCGUCAUAUGUAGGUUAACUGCAAAACCUGUAUCACCAGUCAAAGGUGUCCCUCGGCCACUGAAUCCCAGGUGAAUCAAUUGAUUAUAAAUCGGGGACGGAGUUCCGGACAAGGUGGUCUACAAAGCUUAAAUCCUUAUGCUGUCAGAUUCCCAUGAAGAAAUCAGAUGUAAGAUGCGAAGUGGCUUGAGGUUCAUGGUUCCUAAGAUUGUGGACCUCACUGUUAAGGAGAGCAGCUGCUGCGAAGAUGCGCCCCUAUCAACUCUGUCAAGCACAUAGAGAGCACUUGAGGAUGCAAGUGCGGCCAGGAAAGAGAAGUUUGUCCGAACAAAGGAGGCCCAAGAGAUCAAAUAGUUCAAAAAUUCCCAAGUGGAGACUGAACUUGGCCCAUUACAGCCUUUUCAGUGCCAAGAGGAGAAAAAAAAAAUCAGGAGGCUCAAAGAAGAGAGCACAGCCCUCUGGCUGGAAAUGGAUAAUCUAGAGGCUAUGAACCUCAAACUACAGGAGUAAAUUGUUGAACUGUUAAAAAUAGAAAGAAAGUUGUACAUGCCUAGGUGAGGCAAUGUACCCCCAGCACCAUACCAGCAAAGAGUGCUGGACACACCUGCAACCCCAGCACUACCCAGGCAGAAUCAACAAGCACCCUAUGUAGAGCCCAAGAGGACAAAGAGGCCAGAAAGCAGUUGUACACCGCAAUUGAUAACAUAAUAAUAAUUCUGAUAAUUAAUUUUGAAAACAUUUGAUAAUCAUUGUUGGUUUCAGCAAAUUGUGAUGUAUCAUUACGACAGUAGGUUCAGUGUUAAACUUGCCUCCAACAUUAAUGACUUGUCAUUCAGUGACACUGAACUGUUGAAUAAUCUCAUAUA
Molecule: long non-coding RNA, 966 nt
Organism: Carcharodon carcharias (great white shark)
Lineage: Eukaryota; Metazoa; Chordata; Chondrichthyes; Lamniformes; Lamnidae
Exons: 5
Source: RefSeq, a predicted model, not a curated record